Molecule: ribosomal RNA, 468 nt
Filed under: uncultured bacterium
Lineage: Bacteria
Description: partial 16S ribosomal RNA
Rfam family: Bacterial small subunit ribosomal RNA
Source: RNAcentral
GACGAACGCUAGCGGCGUGCUUAACACAUGCAAGUCGAACGGAAAGGCCCUGCUUUUGUGGGGUGCUCGAGUGGCGAACGGGUGAGUAACACGUGAGUAACCUGCCCUUGACUUUGGGAUAACUUCAGGAAACUGGGGCUAAUACCGGAUAGGAGCUCCUGCUGCAUGGUGGGGGUUGGAAAGUUUCGGCGGUUGGGGAUGGACUCGCGGCUUAUCAGCUUGUUGGUGGGGUAGUGGCUUACCAAGGCUUUGACGGGUAGCCGGCCUGAGAGGGUGACCGGCCACAUUGGGACUGAGAUACGGCACAGACUCCUACGGGAGGCAGCAGUGGGGAAUAUUGCACAAUGGGCGGAAGCCUGAUGCAGCAACGCCGCGUGCGGGAUGACGGCCUUCGGGUUGUAAACCGCUUUCGCCUGUGACGAAGCGUGAGUGACGGUAAUGGGUAAAGAAGCACCGGCUAACUACGUG